This 52-nucleotide transfer RNA is filed under the name Metacrangonyx longipes. RNAcentral's name for it is "transfer RNA-Arg". Lineage: Eukaryota; Metazoa; Arthropoda; Malacostraca; Amphipoda; Metacrangonyctidae. The record is from RNAcentral.
AAAAUAGAAUAAGUUUGGCUUCGAAUCAAACAUAGACUAAAGUCCUAUUUUA